This 676-nucleotide ribosomal RNA is filed under the name uncultured bacterium. RNAcentral describes it as "bacterial SSU rRNA". It matches the Rfam family "Bacterial small subunit ribosomal RNA", at positions 43 to 706 of the family's 1533-position model. The record is from RNAcentral.
CAGGCUUAACACAUUGCAAGUCGAGGGGCAGCAUUUUAGUUUGCUUGCAAACUAAAGAUGGCGACCGGCGCACGGGUGAGUAACACGUAUCCAACCUGCCGAUAACUCGGGGAUAGCCUUUCGAAAGAAAGAUUAAUAUCCGAUAGUAUAUUUUCUCCGCAUGGCGAGAAUAUUAAAGAAUUUCGGUUAUCGAUGGGGAUGCGUUCCAUUAGUUUGUUGGCGGGGUAACGGCCCACCAAGACUACGAUGGAUAGGGGUUCUGAGAGGAAGGUCCCCCACAUUGGAACUGAGACACGGUCCAAACUCCUACGGGAGGCAGCAGUGAGGAAUAUUGGUCAAUGGACGAGAGUCUGAACCAGCCAAGUAGCGUGAAGGAUGACUGCCCUAUGGGUUGUAAACUUCUUUUAUAUGGGAAUAAAGUAUUCCACGUGUGGGAUUUUGUAUGUACCAUAUGAAUAAGGAUCGGCUAACUCCGUGCCAGCAGCCGCGGUAAUACGGAGGAUCCGAGCGUUAUCCGGAUUUAUUGGGUUUAAAGGGAGCGUAGGUGGAUUGUUAAGUCAGUUGUGAAAGUUUGCGGCUCAACCGUAAAAUUGCAGUUGAAACUGGCAGUCUUGAGUACAGUAGAGGUGGGCGGAAUUCGUGGUGUAGCGGUGAAAUGCUUAGAUAUCACGAAGAA